This 367-nucleotide ribosomal RNA is filed under the name uncultured bacterium. RNAcentral's name for it is "bacterial SSU rRNA". It matches the Rfam family "Bacterial small subunit ribosomal RNA", at positions 527 to 896 of the family's 1533-position model. The record is from RNAcentral.
GUAGGUGGCAAGCGUUGUCCGGAUUUAUUGGGUUUAAAGGGUGCGUAGGCGGCUUAAUAAGUCAGUGGUGAAAGCCGAUCGCUUAACGAUCGAACUGCCAUUGAUACUGCUAGGCUUGAGUAUAGUUGAGGUAGGCGGAAUUGACAGUGUAGCGGUGAAAUGCAUAGAUAUUGUCAAGAACACCAAUUGCGAAGGCAGCUUACUAAAGUAUAACUGACGCUGAGGCACGAAAGUGCGGGGAUCAAACAGGAUUAGAUACCCUGGUAGUCCGCACCGUAAACGAUGAUCACUCGCUGUGUGCGAUAAACAGUACGCGGCCAAGCGAAAGCGAUAAGUGAUCCACCUGGGGAGUACGCCCGCAAGGGUG